GAGGGAAUAGCUCAGUGGUAGGGUACAUGCCUAGCAUGCCUGAGGUCUUGGGUUCAAUCCCCUGUACCUCCA
RNAcentral lists this transfer RNA (72 nucleotides) under Camelus bactrianus (Bactrian camel). It matches the Rfam family "tRNA". From Rfam's summary of the family: Transfer RNA (tRNA) molecules are approximately 80 nucleotides in length. Their secondary structure includes four short double-helical elements and three loops (D, anti-codon, and T loops). The record is from Rfam by way of RNAcentral. RNAcentral also lists the same sequence under 2 other names. Lineage: Eukaryota; Metazoa; Chordata; Mammalia; Artiodactyla; Camelidae.